UACGGGGGGGGCAAGCGUUGUUCGGAAUUACUGGGCGUAAAGGGCUUGUAGGUGGCCAACUAAGUCAGACGUGAAAUCCCUCGGCUUAACCGGGGAACUGCGUCUGAUACUGGAUGGCUCGAGUGUGGGAGAGGGAUGCGGAAUUCCAGGUGUAGCGGUGAAAUGCGUAGAUAUCUGGAGGAAUACCGGUGGCGAAGGCGGCAUCCUGGACCAUUACUGACGCUGAAUCGCGAAAGCUAGGGGAGCAAACGGG
RNAcentral lists this ribosomal RNA (253 nucleotides) under uncultured bacterium. Its description in RNAcentral is "partial 16S ribosomal RNA". It matches the Rfam family "Bacterial small subunit ribosomal RNA", at positions 524 to 776 of the family's 1533-position model. The record is from RNAcentral.